This 173-nucleotide long non-coding RNA is filed under the name Acyrthosiphon pisum (pea aphid). RNAcentral's name for it is "uncharacterized LOC115034763, transcript variant X1". The record is from RNAcentral. Lineage: Eukaryota; Metazoa; Arthropoda; Insecta; Hemiptera; Aphididae.
AUUUUUAAUUUCAGUUACAAAGAGUUUUACGUCAAACUUUGAUUUAUCAAACAUUCCUGCAGCAGUUUCAAAUUCUACUUCUAUGUUGAAUACUAGAACUGAAUUGAAUACAAUUGAUACAACAGGUACAAAGAGUUUUGCGUCACACUUUGAUUUAUUAAACAUUCCUGCAG